Molecule: ribosomal RNA, 415 nt
Filed under: uncultured organism
Description: bacterial SSU rRNA
Rfam family: Bacterial small subunit ribosomal RNA
Source: RNAcentral
AGAGUUUGAUCCUGGCUCAGAACGAACGCUGGCGGCAUGCCUAACACAUGCAAGUCGAACGAGACCUUCGGGUCUAGUGGCGCACGGGUGCGUAACGCGUGGGAAUCUGCCCUCUGGUACGGAAUAACUCAGGGAAACUUGAGCUAAUACCGUAUAAUGACUUCGGUCCAAAGAUUUAUCGCCUGAGGAUGAGCCCGCGUAGGAUUAGCUUGUUGGUGAGGUAAAAGCUCACCAAGGCGACGAUCCUUAGCUGGUCUGAGAGGAUGAUCAGCCACACUGGGACUGAGACACGGCCCAGACUCCUACGGGAGGCAGCAGUGGGGAAUAUUGGACAAUGGGCGAAAGCCUGAUCCAGCAAUGCCGCGUGAGUGAUGAAGGCCCUAGGGUUGUAAAGCUCUUUUACCCGGGAUGAUAA